GCCUAAAGCGUCCGUAGCCGGCUCUGUAAGUUUUCGGUUAAAUCCAUAUGCUCAACAUAUGGGCCGCCGGGAAUACUGCAUAGCUAGGGAGUGGGAGAGGUAGACGGUACUCCGUAGGAAGGGGUAAAAUCCUUUGAUCUAUGGAUGACCACCUGUGGCGAAGGCGGUCUACCAGAACACGUUCGACGGUGAGGGAUGAAAGCUGGGGGAGCAAACCGGAUUAGAUACCCGGGUGGUCCCAGCUGUAAACUAUGCAAACUCAGUGAUGCAUUGGCUUGUGGCCAGUGCAGUGCCGCAGAGAAGUCGUUAAGUUUGCCGCCUGGGAAGUACGUACGCAAGUAUGAAACUUAAAGGAAUUGGCGGGGGAGCACCACAAGGGGUGAAGCCUGCGGUUUAAUUGGAGUCAACGCCAGAAAUCUUACCCGGAGAGACAGCAGGAUGAAGGUCAAGCUGAAGACUUUACCAGACAAGCUGAGAAGUGGUGCAUGGCCGUCGCCAGCUCGUGCCGUGAGGUGUCCUGUUAAGUCAGGUAACGAGCGAGAUCCUUGCCUCUAGUUGCCACCAUUACUCUCAGGAGUAGUGGGGCGAAUUAGCGGGACUGCCGUAGUUAAUACGGAGGAAGGAGAGGGCCACGGCAGGUCAGUAUGCCCCGAA
Molecule: ribosomal RNA, 654 nt
Filed under: uncultured archaeon
Lineage: Archaea
Description: bacterial SSU rRNA
Rfam family: Archaeal small subunit ribosomal RNA
Source: RNAcentral